This 465-nucleotide ribosomal RNA is filed under the name uncultured bacterium. RNAcentral describes it as "partial 16S ribosomal RNA". It matches the Rfam family "Bacterial small subunit ribosomal RNA", at positions 338 to 795 of the family's 1533-position model. The record is from RNAcentral.
CCUACGGGAGACAGCAGUGGGGAAUUUUGGACAAUGGGCGCAAGCCUGAUCCAGCUAUUCCGCGUGUGGGAAGACGGCCUUCGGGUUGUAAACCACUUUUGUAGAGAACGAAAAGUCCAUUGAUAAUACCGAUAGACGAUGACGGUACUCUAAGAAUAAGCACCGGCUAACUACGUGCCAGCAGCCGCUGUAAUACGUAGGGUGCGGGAGUUAAUCGGAAUUACUGGGCGUAAAGGGGGUGCAGGUGGCUUUGCAAGAUGGAUGUGAAAGCCCCGGGCCUAACCUGGGAAAGCCAUACAUGACUGGAAGACUUGAGUGCGUGAGAGGGAGGUGGAAUGCGAGGUGUAGCAGUGAAAUGCGUAGAUAUUUCGAAGAACACCGAUGGCGAAGGCAGCCCCCUGGGGCGCAACUGACGCUCAUACACGAAAGCGUGGGGAGCGAACAGGAUUAGAUACCCGAGUAGUC